Lolium perenne is the source of this 2291-nucleotide non-coding RNA. NCBI's taxonomy places the organism in Eukaryota, Viridiplantae, Streptophyta, Magnoliopsida, Poales, Poaceae. The record is from RefSeq and is a predicted model, not a curated record.
UGGUGAAAAAAAUCCUCCAAUCCUGGUUCUCUACUUGUUUGGGCGUGUGUGGCGGCGACAAUGGUGUGCGGGAGGAGGAGGGUGGCGUAGCUGCACCCGCCACCCCAGGUGAAGUUGGUGGCGGUCGGCCCAGCUCUGGAUGUGAGGAGCGGAAGCCGCGAUGCGUCGCAGGUCAAGGGCGUGGUGGUGGGCUGGCGGCGACAACGAUCUCUCCACCUUUCCGGCGUCGCGCCUCCUCCAGUCCUCCUCCUCCACGACCUCGAGCCACCGCGUCAUCGUGCCUCUCCCCCUCGCGCCUGCUAUUCUACGACCCAGAGCCGCCGCGUCGUCGUGCCUCUCCUCCUCGACCUACAACACCGGCGAUGGAUGAGGUAUAGAAAAGUGGGAGGAUGAGGUGUUGCAGGAGCGCACAUAGAGGAGGAGGGCGUCGGCGACGCCUCGCCCUCUCCUCUUCCCCGUCCUCUCGUCUUCCUCCGUCCUUGACGUCAACAUUCGGCCUCGCAGCUCGCAUCCGAUCGCACCAAGGUCGAUCCACUUCUCGUCUCCAUUCUCCGCCUCGAUCUAGAAAUUGGGGCGUGCCUUGGCGGAAGGAGGAGGGCAGCCUACGGGUGGGAUCUGGGACAUAGCCGGCCAAACCGUGGACAGGGCCGGCCCAGCGCAGGCGACGGCGACCUUGAGUGGAUGGAAGCCUCCCUCUCCCUCGUUCAUAUCCUCGGCGCUUACUCCCAUUAGGACGAGCUAGGAGGGGCAAGAGAGGAUGAGGUGAAGUUGGGGGAGGAGCUCGGAUGUGGUGGAUGAGGAUAACUGAAGCUGGUGUUUGCGUUGGCAUGUGGUCAGGACAAUGGCGCCAUGAAUUCUUGCCAGCAGAUUCCUGAUCUGCUCGUCUCCCUUGUCAUUGAACGCAAUUACGGGCAUUUCACAGCAACGACGGCAGCAAGAUGAGGGCCCAUGCCACUUCCUCAGCCAUUGCCGAGCUUCAAGGGAGUAGAGUGCCUCUUACAAUGAUUUUCUCUAAUUCAUAUUCAUGUUGGAGUUCUCAGGCUAGGAGGAAAAAAGUUUCCUAUUGCUGAAUUGAAGCAUAUAAUUUGUAUGCUAGAUUUAAAGUAAAUCCUAUAUUAGAUGUUUACUGAUAUUUGCAUCCCUCCUUUUCCAAAUAUUCUGUGAUGCUGUUCUUGUUGCUUCCAUUUAAGUGGUGCUUGAUUCUAGGCGGGUGUGUAUGCUUACAUCUCGUUUAUUUCGAAAUGACUAGGCAGCCUCAGGUGGGAGAAGGAACAACAUCACGUCGAGAAGGAGGGGCGUCACACAAUGUGUUGUGGCCCAAGGAUAAAUGUAACCAAAUUGUUUCUGGUAGCACAUGUUCAAACUCAUGAUAAAAGCGACCAAAUUGUCAAAGAUGGUGAUGUUCGCUUUGUUUUUAGGAGCACAUAACAGGGUUUGUAUGUUGCCUGAUUAAAUUCAAGCGGUUUCUUCUGGUUUCCGUCUGUGAAUUAAUUACUUAUGCGGCAUUCCUAAUCUGGCUGCCUGGGAAUUAAUUAUCAACAAAGAAUCGAGGGAUCCCUUUUUUGUUGGAAAUUUUAUGAUGGAUAGUUAUUUAUCUACAAAUUUGAUAGUUUGAGAGGCCUCACUUCUACCCAUUAUCCUUUCCCUUUGUGUUGUUGCUCAGAGUUUAAAUAUUCUGCUUAUGAUGCAGUGAGAUAAUAUGCCAGUUUAAAUAUUCUGCUUAUGAUGCAGUGAGAUAAUAUGCCAGCUAAAGCAACGGCAACUCCAGGAAAAUCGUGUGCUUGCUGCUGCUAAUAAAAUGCAGAUCCAAUUAGUGUCUGUCAGUUGUGCGGAAAUACAAGUAUCUCCAGUGGAAUCCAUACUCGAUGGUAGGCUUGAUGGAUAUUGCAAGUGUGCUUGGACUGGUUUCUUGCGGGAGGCACCCUCUAAUCGAUCCUUGCACAAAUGCAGUAAAUUGGUAGCUGCUUGGACCAUCUGCUUCUUGCAGUACCAGGUUAAAACGAAUUUAUGGUUCUUGUGUAACCAUCUCACUGAAAUGAGGGAACGUGAGAGGUGUUUGUGGUUGGACUUGCUUUCAGAAAUUUCGGGUUUCCUUGUUGUCCAUGGUUAGGCUGGACAUGUAUUUCCAGGCUUUAGUGUUCUGUUGAAUAGGGAUGUACUCUCCUUGUGCAGCAGGGGAACAUGGAGAAGAGGAGCAGAGCGUUGUGCAGCAGGGGAUGAGCUGCGCGUGGCAUCGUCUCACCUCUAUGUAGAGGACGACCACGCAGGACAAUGGGCUAUAAUCGGCCCAA